GAUCCUGGCUCAGAUUGAACGCUGGCGGCAUAGCCUUACACAUGCAAGUCGAACGGUAGAGGGGGNAACCCUUGAGAGUGGCGAACGGGUGAGUAAUAUAUCGGAACGUGCCCAGUCGUGGGGGGAUAACGUAGCGAAAGUUACGCUAAUACCGCAUACGAUCUAAGGAUGAAANCGGGGGAUCGCAAGACCUCGCGCGAUUGGAGCGGCCGAUAUCAGAUUAGGUAGUUGGUGAGGUAAAGGCUCACCAAGCCAACGAUCUGUAGCUGGUCUGAGAGGACGACCAGCCACACUGGAACUGAGACACGGUCCAGACUCCUACGGGAGGCAGCAGUGGGGAAUUUUGGACAAUGGACGCAAGUCUGAUCCAGCCAUUCCGCGUGCAGGAUGAAGGCCCUCGGGUUGUAAACUGCUUUUGUACGGAACGAAAAGGUUUCUAUUAAUACUAGGAGCUCAUGACGGUACCGUAAGAAUAAGCACCGGCUAACUCCGUG
RNAcentral lists this ribosomal RNA (494 nucleotides) under uncultured bacterium. RNAcentral describes it as "bacterial SSU rRNA". It matches the Rfam family "Bacterial small subunit ribosomal RNA", at positions 15 to 507 of the family's 1533-position model. The record is from RNAcentral.